UGCAUCUGAAGUCUGACGAGGAUGAGAACCUCCGGGGGCAAGAGGUUCGACUCGAGCGAAGCGAGAGAACGUUGCGUCAGCAACGGCCCGCAGGGCGAGCCAUCCUCUAUCACCGGCA
Molecule: small RNA, 118 nt
Filed under: Salmonella enterica subsp. enterica serovar Bareilly str. CFSAN000222
Lineage: Bacteria; Pseudomonadati; Pseudomonadota; Gammaproteobacteria; Enterobacterales; Enterobacteriaceae
Also listed under: 24 other names
Description: RtT RNA
Rfam family: RtT RNA
About the family: This family represents a bacterial cis-regulatory element known as RtT RNA.
Source: RNAcentral